RNAcentral lists this ribosomal RNA (461 nucleotides) under uncultured bacterium. Its description in RNAcentral is "partial 16S ribosomal RNA". It matches the Rfam family "Bacterial small subunit ribosomal RNA", at positions 338 to 795 of the family's 1533-position model. The record is from RNAcentral.
CCUACGGGAGGCAGCAGUGAGGAAUAUUGGUCAAUGGACGAGAGUCUGAACCAGCCAAGUAGCGUGAAGGAUGACUGCCCUAUGGGUUGUAAACUUCUUUUAUAUGGGAAUAAAAUGUUCCACGUGUGGGAUUUUGUAUGUACCAUAUGAAUAAGGAUCGGCUAACUCCGUGCCAGCAGCCGCGGUAAUACGGAGGAUCCGAGCGUUAUCCGGAUUUAUUGGGUUUAAAGGGAGCGUAGGUGGAUUGUUAAGUCAGUUGUGAAAGUUUGCGGCUCAACCGUAAAAUUGCAGUUGAAACUGGCAGUCGUGAGGACAGUAGAGGUGAGCGGAAUUCGGGGUGUAGCGGUGAAAUGCUUAGAUAUCACGAAGAAAUCCGAUUGCGAAGGGAGCUCACUGGACUGCAAAUGACACUGAGGCUCGAAAGUGUGGGUAUCAAACAGGAUUAGAUACCCCUGGUAGUC